UACUGAGGGUGCGAGCGUUAAUCGGAAUUACUGGGCGUAAAGCGUGCGCAGGCGGUUUUGUAAGACAGGCGUGAAAUCCCCGGGCUUAACCUGGGAACUGCGUUUGUGACUGCAAGGCUAGAGUACGGCAGAGGGGGGUGGAAUUCCACGUGUAGCAGUGAAAUGCGUAGAGAUGUGGAGGAACACCAAUGGCGAAGGCAGCCCCCUGGGUCGAUACUGACGCUCAUGCACGAAAGCGUGGGUAGCAAACAGG
This 253-nucleotide ribosomal RNA is filed under the name uncultured bacterium. RNAcentral's name for it is "partial 16S ribosomal RNA". It matches the Rfam family "Bacterial small subunit ribosomal RNA", at positions 524 to 776 of the family's 1533-position model. The record is from RNAcentral.